GCCAGCAUGGAUUACUGGUCUGAGUGCUGGACUAUGAUUCUGGAGACCAGGGUUCGAUCCCCAGCUCGAGCA
Non-coding RNA from Phrynosoma platyrhinos (Desert horned lizard), 72 nucleotides. The record is from the annotation of a GenBank genome assembly. NCBI's taxonomy places the organism in Eukaryota, Metazoa, Chordata, Lepidosauria, Squamata, Phrynosomatidae.